Molecule: ribosomal RNA, 1373 nt
Filed under: human gut metagenome
Description: bacterial LSU rRNA
Rfam family: Bacterial large subunit ribosomal RNA
Source: RNAcentral
ACAACCAGGAUGUUGGCUUAGAAGCAGCCACUCAUUAAAAGAGUGCGUAAUAGCUCACUGGUCGAGUGACCCUGCGCCGAAAAUUCAACGGGGCUAAACAAUGUACCGAAGCUUGGGAUUCUAAAGUAAUUUAGAGUGGUAGGAGAGCGUCGAAUAAGGGGUGAAGUCAGAGCGGAAGCGCUGGUGGACUUUAUUCGAGUGAGAAUGCCGGAAUGAGUAGCGAGAAUUAUGUGAGAAUCAUAAUGGCCGAAAAUCUAAGGUUUCCUGAGGAAGGUUCGUCCGCUCAGGGUAAGCCGGGGGCUAAGGCGAGGCGGAGACGCGUAGCCGAUGCACAUACGGUUGAAAUUCCGUAGCCACCGAAAGAUUUAAGUACAGGGACGCUUUAGAAGUGAUGUUGCCGGGCGAUGGUUGACCCGGUCGUAAGGGAUCGAAAAUGAGUAGAGAAGUCAUCAUGGAAAGAGACAAGAAAAGCUGUAUGAAUAUCUUAGGUGCCCGUACCGCAAACCGACACAGGUAGAUAGGAAGAAGAUUCUAAGGCCAACGGGAGAAGGGUUGUUAAGGAACUCGGCAAGUUGACCCCGUAACUUAGGGAUAAGGGGUGCUCAAGUGAUUGAGCCGCAGAGAAUAGGCCCAGGCGACUGUUUAGCAAAAACACAGGUCUCUGCUAAAUCGAAAGAUGACGUAUAGGGGCUGACACCUGCCCGGUGCCGGAAGGUUAAGAGGAGAUGUGAGAGCAUUGAAUUGAAGCCCCGGUAAACGGCGGCCGUAACUAUAACGGUCCUAAGGUAGCGAAAUUCCUUGUCAGGUAAGUUCUGACCCGCACGAAAGGUGUAACGAUCUGGGCACUGUCUCAACAACCCGCCCGGCGAAAUUGUAGUACCGGUGAAGAUGCCGGUUACCCGCGACUAGACGGAAAGACCCCAUGGAGCUUUACUGUAGCCUAAUAUUGGAUUUCGGUAUUUCACGUACAGGAUAGGUGGGAGACUGGGAAGCACAGGCGUCAGCUUGUGUGGAGUCGACCUUGGGAUACCACUCUUGGAGUGCUGGAAUUCUAACCUGCGGCUUUGAAGCAAGUCGGGGGACAUUGUUAGGUGGGCAGUUUGACUGGGGCGGUCGCCUCCUAAAGAGUAACGGAGGCGCUCAAAGGUUCGCUCUGCAUGGAUGGAAACCAUGCGUCAGAGUGUAAACGCAAAAGCGAGCCUAACUGCGAGAAUGACGGUUCGAGCAGUAACGAAAGUUGGAGUUAGUGAUCCGGCGGUAUGUGAAUGGAAAUGCCGUCGCUCAACGGAUAAAAGCUACCCUGGGGAUAACAGGCUGAUCUCCCCCAAGAGUCCACAUCGACGGGGAGGUUUGGCACCUCGAUGUCGGCUCAU